Eubalaena glacialis (North Atlantic right whale) is the source of this 73-nucleotide non-coding RNA. The record is from the annotation of a RefSeq genome assembly. Lineage: Eukaryota; Metazoa; Chordata; Mammalia; Artiodactyla; Balaenidae.
UCCCUAGUGGCACAGUGGUUGGGACUCUGUGCUCCUAACGCAGGGGGCCCAGGUUCGAUCCCUGGCCAGGGAA